CUUGGAUACCGUCGAAUAAUUCUUUACAGUUACCGCAUAUCAAUAUAUCCGGAUGACCUGUAAAAGGCCGACACCACUAGUUAUAUUUUAAAAAUUUCCAGCAAAAAAUCUUAGAACUUAUCGAUUCUUAUUUUUAAAGAGAAAUCCGGACCGACGUACGAAACCGACCACCGUUAACGGGCGUACAUCCAUCGUUUUCGGCCCGCGUAUAAUUUAUAACGGCCGAGGUCCGAGUUGGACGGCCAACGAUUUUUUGUCGUACGCCUGGAAGAACACGGAAAAAAACCAGAUAGAAAUUGAUUUAAAAGUAACUUACUGUAAGCGGUCAAAACCAGUUUGCCUUUCUUCUUGGCUGUUUUCUCGUUUCGUACUCUUUUGGUCGGAGAGGCGCUCUGUCCGGAGCAGCUACGGGCGAGAAGAAAAAAAUCGCGUCAUUUAACGACUCGGUAAGCGGAAACGCGUCUUUAACGUUUAGCCCGACACAAAGAAUCGACACGGGUGGUAAACAGACGGUCGACGGAUUAUAUCUAAGUUUAGAGCCUAAGCUGUCGCAUCCAGCGUUUUUCCCGAAUAAAUCCCCACUUCCCAUCUCCGGUCAUCGGGAUUUACCGCUUCCUCGCUCGUUUCCCACCCAACAUAUCCAGACUUUUUUACCUCUGGCCAUUGUCCUCCGUCUUUAAUUCCGUUUGUCCGAAAGUGUGAUUAUACGGGAGACGGCUUUUAGCCGGAUCCGAGUGACCGGAAAAAAUUUAUUUUCCAUUUGUUGUUUAAAUUUAACCGUUUUUCCGAUUAAAUGUCGAUUUCGAAACGUAACGCCGGUAAUUUACGCGAAAAAUUCGAAUACAAUCGAUUAAAACGGGUGGAAGUAGCGGCCCGACUCGGGUACCCGCCGUUCCGUCUGAAUGGUGGUGGGUCGAUCGAAACGCCGCUUACACCUACAGAAACGGAAGGAGUCGGCCCGGAAUUGGCUAGACGCUUAGUUGGCUGGAUAAGAUCGACCGCGCGCGCGGACGGAAACGUUCUAGGCGGUUAAAUGGAAUUUCGGCAAUUAUUCGGCCGGCUAAAGGAUAUACCAGUUUAUUGGGAAUAUUCCUACUAGUCGGGCCGCCGUAUCUAUCGAAAGUAAACGUUUUAAAGCUGGGAAGGGACGUCGGUCCUACCUCAUC
This 1166-nucleotide long non-coding RNA is filed under the name Androctonus crassicauda. Lineage: Eukaryota; Metazoa; Arthropoda; Arachnida; Scorpiones; Buthidae. The record is from RNAcentral.